UCUUUAAUGGAGAGUUUGAUCCUGGCUCAGGACGAACGCUGGCGGCGUGCCUAAUACAUGCAAGUCGAGCGGACCCUUCGGGGUUAGCGGCGGACGGGUGAGU
This 103-nucleotide ribosomal RNA is filed under the name Paenibacillus sp. A3. RNAcentral's name for it is "partial 16S ribosomal RNA". It matches the Rfam family "Bacterial small subunit ribosomal RNA", at positions 1 to 111 of the family's 1533-position model. Lineage: Bacteria; Bacillati; Bacillota; Bacilli; Caryophanales; Paenibacillaceae. The record is from RNAcentral.